This 1465-nucleotide ribosomal RNA is filed under the name metagenome. RNAcentral describes it as "bacterial LSU rRNA". It matches the Rfam family "Bacterial large subunit ribosomal RNA", at positions 1482 to 2925 of the family's 2925-position model. The record is from RNAcentral.
UUAGUCCAGCCCAGGCGAUGGUUGUCAUGGGGUAAGCAUGUAGGGCGGAACGUAGGUAAAUCCGCGUUCUAAUCAACCUGAGAUGUGAUGCCGAGCCGAUUGUGGUGAAGUGGAUGAUCCUAUGCUGCCGAGAAAAGCCUCUAGUGAGUGUUGUGGCGGCCCGUACCCUAAACCGACUCAGGUGGUCAGGUAGAGAAUACCAAGGCGAUCGGGUGAACUGUGGUUAAGGAACUCGGCAAAUUGCCCCCGUAACUUCGGGAGAAGGGGGACCUCUGCUGGUGAUGGGCUUUACGUUCUGAGCUGGUGGGGGUCGCAGUGGCCAGGGGGAAGCGACUGUUUACUAAAAACACAGGUCCGUGCGAAGUCGUAAGACGAUGUAUACGGACUGACGCCUGCCCGGUGCCGGAACGUUAAGGGGACCGCUUAGCCAACGCGAGUUGGCGAAGGUGAGAACUUAAGCGCCGGUAAACGGCGGUGGUAACUAUAACCAUCCUAAGGUAGCGAAAUUCCUUGUCGGGUAAGUUCCGACCUGCACGAAUGGCGUAACGACUUCCCCGCUGUCUCAACCACAGACCCGGCGAAAUUGCACUACGAGUAAAGAUGCUCGUUUCGCGCAGCAGGACGGAAAGACCCCGGGACCUUCACUACAGCUUGACAUUGGCGUUUGGAACGUCUUGUGUAGGAUAGGUGGGAGACUGGGAAGCUGUCACGCUAGUGAUGGUGGAGUCAUUGGUGAAAUACCACUCUGGUCGUUUUGAACGUCUAACUCUGGUCCGUGAUCCGGAUCGGGGACAGUGUCUGGUGGGUAGUUUAACUGGGGCGGUUGCCUCCUAAAGAGUAACGGAGGCGCCCAAAGGUUCCCUCAGCGUGGUUGGCAAUCAGGUGUUGAGUGUAAGUGCACAAGGGAGCUUGACUGUGAGACUGACAGGUCGAGCAGGAGCGAAAGCUGGGACUAGUGAUCCGGCAUCGGAGUGUGGAAGCGGUGUCGCUCAACGGCUAAAAAGCUACCCCGGGGAUAACAGGCUGAUCUUCCCCAAGAGUCCAUAUCGACGGGAUGGUUUGGCACCUCGAUGUCGGCUCGUCGCAUCCUGGGGCUGGAGUAGUCCCAAGGGUUGGGCUGUUCGCCCAUUAAAGCGGUACGCGAGCUGGGUUUAGAACGUCGCGAGACAGUUCGGUCCCUAUCCGCUGCGCGCGCAGGAGACUUGAAGGGGGCUGUCCCUAGUACGAGAGGACCGGGACGGACGAACCUCUGGUGUGCCAGUUGUACCGCCAGGUGCACGGCUGGUUGGCUACGUUCGGAAGGGAUAACCGCUGAAAGCGUCUAAGCGGGAAGCUCGCCUUGAGAUGAGGUCUCCCACCCCGUGAGGGGGUAAGGCUCCCGGUAGAUCACCGGGUUGAUAGGCCGGAGGUGGAAGCACGGUAACGUGUGGAGCUGACCGGUACUAAUAGGCCGAGGACUUGACCG